Molecule: ribosomal RNA, 1369 nt
Filed under: uncultured bacterium
Lineage: Bacteria
Description: bacterial SSU rRNA
Rfam family: Bacterial small subunit ribosomal RNA
Source: RNAcentral
GACGAACGCUGGCGGCGUGCCUAAUACAUGCAAGUAGAACGCUGAAGAGAGGGGCUUGCUCUUCUUGGAUGAGUUGCGAACGGGUGAGUAACGCGUAGGUAACCUGCCUUGUAGCGGGGGAUAACUAUUGGAAACGAUAGCUAAUACCGCAUAACAAUGGAUGACACAUGUCAUUUAUUUGAAAGGGGCAAUUGCUCCACUACAAGAUGGACCUGCGUUGUAUUAGCUAGUAGGUGAGGUAACGGCUCACCUAGGCGACGAUACAUAGCCGACCUGAGAGGGUGAUCGGCCACACUGGGACUGAGACACGGCCCAGACUCCUACGGGAGGCAGCAGUAGGGAAUCUUCGGCAAUGGGGGCAACCCUGACCGAGCAACGCCGCGUGAGUGAAGAAGGUUUUCGGAUCGUAAAGCUCUGUUGUAAGUCAAGAACGAGUGUGAGAGUGGAAAGUUCACACUGUGACGGUAGCUUACCAGAAAGGGACGGCUAACUACGUGCCAGCAGCCGCGGUAAUACGUAGGUCCCGAGCGUUGUCCGGAUUUAUUGGGCGUAAAGCGAGCGCAGGCGGUUUGAUAAGUCUGAAGUUAAAGGCUGUGGCUCAACCAUAGUUCGCUUUGGAAACUGUCAAACUUGAGUGCAGAAGGGGAGAGUGGAAUUCCAUGUGUAGCGGUAAAAUGCGUAGAUAUAUGGAGGAACACCGGUGGCGAAAGCGGCUCUCUGGUCUGUAACUGACGCUGAGGCUCGAAAGCGUGGGGAGCGAACAGGAUUAGAUACCCUGGUAGUCCACGCCGUAAACGAUGAGUGCUAGGUGUUGGAUCCUUCCCGGGAUUCAGUGCCGCAGCUAACGCAUUAAGCACUCCGCCUGGGGAGUACGACCGCAAGGUUGAAACUCAAAGGAAUUGACGGGGGCCCGCACAAGCGGUGGAGCAUGUGGUUUAAUUCGAAGCAACGCGAAGAACCUUACCAGGUCUUGACAUCCCGAUGCUAUUUCUAGAGAUAGAAAGUUACUUCGGUACAUCGGUGACAGGUGGUGCAUGGUUGUCGUCAGCUCGUGUCGUGAGAUGUUGGGUUAAGUCCCGCAACGAGCGCAACCCCUAUUGUUAGUUGCCAUCAUUCAGUUGGGCACUCUAGCGAGACUGCCGGUAAUAAACCGGAGGAAGGUGGGGAUGACGUCAAAUCAUCAUGCCCCUUAUGACCUGGGCUACACACGUGCUACAAUGGUUGGUACAACGAGUUGCGAGUCGGUGACGGCAAGCUAAUCUCUUAAAGCCAAUCUCAGUUCGGAUUGUAGGCUGCAACUCGCCUACAUGAAGUCGGAAUCGCUAGUAAUCGCGGAUCAGCACGCCGCGGUGAAUACGUUCCCGGGCCU